ACUUCAGUCCAAUAUUGAAACCAAUCUCCCUACCAUCCCCUCAUUAUCAGCAUCCUCUCAUCCCCUCAGCAUCAAGCAGUAUAUGCAAGGCAAGCCACACUCCUGGGGGUUCAAAGUAUGGGUGAGAGCUGGAAUCUCUGGCAUGAUGCUUGACUUUGAUGUGUUUGUGAUGUUUUCUUCACUUUGAUGUCAAAUGGUAUGACAACAGGGCAGUCACAUUUGUGUCAUCUUUCGCUGGACCAGAACCUGUGCAGAAGACUCAACGCUGGGACAAAGCCACCAAAACCUCCACUGAUGUUAAAAGUCCUUACAAUGCUCCUCUACAAGCGGCACUGCCAAGCUCUCAAGUUGCCAAAGAAGGAGAUACUGAACAUGAGAAAGGCCAGGCUCACCUAGCAUCCUCUCUCAUUCUGGUGGACACUGUUCCUGGGACUAGCUGUGUAAAUAAAUGUCAAAAGUUCUUGGUGUUGUAAUAAAUGACUGAGAUUAUUUUUUGUUCUACUGUUCUGGGCCAAAAGCUAAACCCUGCAAAUGAAUCCUUAGUUCUGUAAUGUUGUUCAUACAAUGAGUACAAAUACAGGAGAUUCUUCUCCGCAUUGAGCCCAACGUUGCAAUUGUUGCAGGUACCGGUUGGCACCAUUAGACAGCUUAAAUGCUCUCUCUGAAAACA
Long non-coding RNA from Dunckerocampus dactyliophorus (ringed pipefish), 670 nucleotides. RefSeq lists it as uncharacterized. The record is from RefSeq and is a predicted model, not a curated record. NCBI's taxonomy places the organism in Eukaryota, Metazoa, Chordata, Actinopteri, Syngnathiformes, Syngnathidae. The transcript is spliced from 3 exons.